CCCUGCCUUUUGUACACACCGCCCGUCGUUGUUUCCGAUGGAUGGCGAAAUACAGGUUGUUGGACUGGCCCCGUGCCGGGAAGAUAACCGAUAUUUAAUCAUUAGAGGAAGCAAAAGUCGUAACAAGGUAGCUG
Molecule: ribosomal RNA, 134 nt
Filed under: uncultured eukaryote
Lineage: Eukaryota
Description: partial small subunit ribosomal RNA
Rfam family: Eukaryotic small subunit ribosomal RNA
Source: RNAcentral